This 200-nucleotide unclassified non-coding RNA is filed under the name Psathyrella sp. RNAcentral's name for it is "partial internal transcribed spacer 2". Lineage: Eukaryota; Fungi; Basidiomycota; Agaricomycetes; Agaricales; Psathyrellaceae. The record is from RNAcentral.
UUAAGUUCAGCGGGUAGUCCUACCUGAUUUGAGGUCAAAUUGUCAAAAGAUUGUCCUUGCGGACGGUUAGAAGCAAGUCUAAGCCCCAUCCACGGCGUAGAUAAUUAUCACACCAAUAGACGGAGCCCAUUUUGAACUCGCUAAUAUUUUUAAGGGGAGCAGUCUGCUCGAAAGCGUUCUGCACAACCCCCACAUCCAAG